This 1222-nucleotide long non-coding RNA is filed under the name Mytilus galloprovincialis (Mediterranean mussel). The record is from RNAcentral. Lineage: Eukaryota; Metazoa; Mollusca; Bivalvia; Mytilida; Mytilidae.
CUGUCUCAGACGUACUUAUAUAUAUACAACUCGUCUAAACAUCAACCUCGUUUCUGUGUUUGUUACAUUUUAACGUUGCGUCGUUUGUUUUCUCUUAUUUUUGAGUGUAAAUUCACAUUGUGAUAAGACGUGUCACGGUACUUGUCUAUCCCAAAUUCAUGUAUUUGGUUUUGAUGUUAUAUUUGUUAUUCUCGUGGGAUUUUGUCUGAUGCUUGGCCCGUUUCUGUGUGUGUUACAUUGUAGUGUUGUGUCGUUGUUCUCCUCUUAUAUUUAAUGCGUUUCCCUCAGUUUUAGUUUGUUACCCCGAUUUUGUUUUUUGUCCAUGGAUUUAUGAGUUUGAACAGCGGUAUACUACUGUAGCCUUUAUGUAAAAGUAUUGUCUGUUAAUACAAAUUUGGCAGUCAUAUAUAUAUAUAUACCUGAUGCAAUUGUUGAAAGCUAGCUUUUUUUUGUGAUUGGGUUGUUGACACUUCAACACCUACUAACCAAGAAUUCUGUUCUAUGAGUAUUCCCCUUAAAUGACAUGAUCGACUGUAAAUUCUUCAAGACUGUCAGAAACUAUUUGGAGGAUUAUCUGUAGGCGAUAGUGUUUAUGAAAGAUUAGCUUUGUUUGUUAUGAUUUCAGCAAUGACCCUAUGUUAUAACACCAUUUAUAAACAAACAAACUCAAACGUUUAAUCUCUGUAUCUAUCCUUAAUUGUUUAUGACUGUUACGGGGAGGGCCAUUUGAUUAUAGUUGGUGGAGGGGAAGAGUAAAUACAAUCUAUUAAGAUUUGUUAGCUCUUCAGAUUUUUAAUGAGUUUUGGAUUUUCGAUUAUUUUGGCCUUCAGCAUCUCUGAAGACACAUUAAUUGUCGAAAAGCUAAUCUGGUACAGUAAAAUUGGUAUCAUUAAUGAUAUUAUCCAAUGAUUUCCAUUUCCGAUGGAACAUAAAUUAGAAAUAAGUGCGAGGAAGUAGCUUUAAGCUUUACAUAUUUUUGUGAGCAGCAGAAAAGAUUAGCAACACAUCUACAAUUAAGAUACAUGACAUUGACUCCUUAUUUUAAUGAAUUCCCUAAAAAAAGUUGAACACCAAUGUUUAUAUAUUGUUUUCAUGUGGGUUUAAACUUUUGAACAACUAUUCAAUGUACACCAAACUAAAUAUAUAUGAUCAGUAGUGUGUGAGAGAUUUUGUUAUAUACAGUUUCACUUAAAUAAUGAUCUGGUUUAUUAUUUCGACGUCG